Molecule: ribosomal RNA, 305 nt
Filed under: Galianora sacha
Lineage: Eukaryota; Metazoa; Arthropoda; Arachnida; Araneae; Salticidae
Description: partial 12S ribosomal RNA
Source: RNAcentral
AGGUAGUAAUUAAAAUAAAACCUCUUUAUUACGGCGGCUAAUAUUCCUUAGAGGAACCCGUCAAAUAAUCGAUAAUACCCGAUAAUUUUUACUUUAAUUAUAAGCUUAUAUACCUCCAUCUUAAAAAUUCUUUUAUAAAAGAAUUUUUAAUAACUAUUAAAAAGUUAGGUCAAGGUGUAGUUAUAUUAAAGCUAUGAUAGGUUACAUUAAAAUCUAUUUAUGGUAAAAUAUUUAAAUUAACUCAAAAAAGGAUUUAAAAGUAAUUAUUUAAUAAUAAUUUAUUAUGAAAUCAAUUAUAAUAGUGC